Molecule: ribosomal RNA, 3888 nt
Filed under: Triticum aestivum (bread wheat)
Lineage: Eukaryota; Viridiplantae; Streptophyta; Magnoliopsida; Poales; Poaceae
Description: partial small subunit ribosomal RNA
Source: RNAcentral
AUGUCGGGCUAUGUUGCUGUCCCUCGCUGCCCGGUGAUUCCUGACGGAGUUUUCAGUGUUUGCUCUACUGACCCCGUCUCGCACAUGUGCGUUUCUUCCGCGCUUGGUGCUCGUUCGUCUGUGCUAUCGUCCCCUGUGGCGACUCUCGCACGUGGUGAUUGUCGCUCUACAUCGACUCUUCCUGCGACUUUCAUCGGUGAUUAUCGUUCUACACCGGCUCCUCUCACGGCCCCCAUCGGAUGUGUUGAUGCAUAUGACUCUAUUGACCCGCGUCUUCCUUUGGCGCUUGGGGCUUGUCUGCAUGUGCCCUCGUCUCCGUCACCGGCCUCUACGGAUGAUGUUGCUUAUGCUAUGUCGCCUCCUCUGGCGGUUUCCACAGGUGGUGGUGGGCCUGGUGGCUGCUCCUCUCCCAGUGCUACUGCGUCAUCUAAUUCAGCUAUGUACUUCACCAAGCAGGAGAUUGUGGGACUUCGUGGUCUGCUCACUGCCUCCGGCUCUUCAUUGCCGGGUGCAUCUCCGUCGACCUCUUCAGUUGAGCUCCUGACUGAGCAGGAGAUUACGCGCCUUCGGUGCUUGCUCGCUGCAUGCUCUGGUUCUUCACCGACGGGUUCUGCUGGUUCUGCUACUGACUCCUCUGGCAUUGUGAGACCACCUUCAUCACAGUCAGGUACAUCUCCAUGGAUUCUGGAUACUGGAGCAUCUUUUCAUAUGACUCAUGAUUCAUCCACCUUGUCUUCUAUUCGUGCUCUUGAUUCUCCUAUUCAUGUUCUUACUGCUGAUGGUACCUCCCUCCCGGUUAAUGGUCGAGGCAUUCUUAGCACCUCAUCUUUUCAUGUUCCUGAUGUUGCUCAUGUUCCUCGACUUACCAUGCAGCUCCUUUCUGGUGGUCAGAUUGUUGACUCCGGUUGUCGGGUGAUUCUAGACUUUGACUCUUGUUCUGUUCUGGACCGUCACACUGGUGCUCUCCUUGGUGCUGGCCCCCGACACCGUGACUCUCAGGGUCUCUGGGAGCUUGACUGGCUUCACCUUCCCUCCGCUGCUUCCGCCGCCAGUCUUUCCCCCUCUGUUGCCUUGUCUACUAGCUCUUUUCAGCAGUGGCAUCAUCGCCUUGGUCACUUGUGUGGCUCUCGUCUCUCAUCCUUAGUUCGACGUGGUCUUCUUGGAUCUGUCUCCGGCGGUUUGUCUUUAGACUGUCAGGGUUGUCGGCUUGGUAAACAGGUCCAGUUACCUUAUCCUCAUAGUGACACUGUGUCUCAGCGUCCUUUUGACCUGGUUCACUCCGAUGUCUGGGGUCCAGCUCCCUUUGCCUCGAAAGGAGGUCAUCGCUACUAUAUUAUUUUUAUAGAUGAUUUCUCUCGAUACACCUGGAUAUAUUUUAUGUCUUCUCGUAGUGAGGUGUUAUCCAUCUAUAAGCGUUUUGCUGCCAUGGUUCACACUCAGUUCUCUACUCCUAUUCGUGUUUUCCGAGCUGACUCUGCUGGAGAGUAUAUCUCCAAGAUGUUGCGUGGAGUCCUUGCUGAGCAGGGUACUCUUGCCCAGUUCUCUUGUCCUGGUGCUCAUGCUCAGAAUGGCGUGUCUGAGCGCAAGCAUCGUCACCUUCUUGAGACGGCUCGUGCGAUGAUGAUUGCCGCCUCUCUUCCGCCUCAUUUUUGGGCCGAGGCUAUCUCCACUUCCGCCUAUCUCAUCAACCUUCAGCCGUCCGCUGCUUUGCAGGGUGGCGUUCCUUUUGAGCGUCUUUUUGAUCGUUCUCCCGAUUAUUCGAUGCUUCGCUUGUUUGGUUGUGUUUGCUAUGUUCUUCUUGCCCCUCGUGAACGCACCAAACUGACCGCUCAGUCUGUUGAGUGUGUCUUCUUAGGCUACAGUGAUGAGCAUAAGGGCUAUCGUUGUUGGGAUCCUAUCGGUCGUCGGAUGCGUAUCUCUCGCGACGUGACUUUUGAUGAGUCUCGUCCUUUCUACCCACGCCCAUCUUCCUCGAUUUUUUCAAUGGAGGAUAUUUCUUUUCUCACUUUUCCUGACUCACCUAUCACCCCCGUUGCGCCUGUGCCUAUUCGUUCCACUCCCUCUGCUUCUCCACCUCUAGUCGAUUUGCAGCAACCAUCUUCUCCGGUUUCCUCGCAAAGCAUGUCACCGGAUUCUACGCCUUCAUCUCCGGUGCCUUCUUCAUCGCCACCCCCCGAUUCUACCUUGGCGAUUCCUCCUUCUAUUGUUCCAUCUUUUCCUCAGCAUUACACUCGUCGUUCACGACCUGUGGAUGCCUCCUUGGAUGAGUCGUCCUCUUCCACUCAGCCUACUUAUGGCUUGCGUUCUCGUCCUCGUCCGCCUGUUGAUCGCUUUGGAUUUCCCACUGCUGGUGCUGCUGUUCUUGAGCCGACUUCUUAUCGUCAGGCUGUUGUUCAUCCUGAAUGGCAGUUUGCGAUGGCAGAGGAGAUUGCUGCUCUUGAACGCACUGGUACCUGGGAUCUUGUUUCUCUUCCUCCCGGAGUCCGUCCCAUCACUUGUAAGUGGAUCUACAAGGUUAAGACUCGCUCCGAUGGUUCUCUUGAGCGUCACAAAGCUCGUCUUGUGGCUCGUGGUUUUCAGCAGGAGCAUGGUCGUGAUUAUGAUGAGACUUUUGCUCCUGUGGCCCAUAUGACCACUGUUCGUACACUUCUUGUUGUUGCCUCUGUACGUCACUGGUCUAUAUCUCAGCUUGAUGUUAAGAAUGCCUUUCUUAAUGGUGAGCUACGUGAGGAGGUGUACAUGCAGCCACCACCUGGGUAUUAUGUUCCUGAUGGCAUGGUAUGUCGUCUUCGUCGCUCUCUCUAUGGCCUUAAGCAAGCCCCUCGCGCCUGGUUUGAGCGUUUUGCCUCUGUGAUCACUACUGCUGGUUUUUCAGCAAGUGCUCAUGAUCCAGCAUUGUUUAUUCACCUUUCUCCUCGUGGUCGGACUCUUCUUCUUCUCUAUGUUGAUGACAUGAUCAUCACUGGGGAUGACCCCGAGUAUAUUGCCUUUGUAAAGGCCCGUCUUAGUGAGCAGUUUCUUAUGUCUGAUCUUGGACCUCUUCGCUACUUUCUUGGGAUUGAAGUCUCUUCUACCUCUGAUGGCUUUUUUAUAUCCCAGGAAAAGUAUAUUCAGGAUCUUCUUGCUCGUGCUGCUCUUACUGACGAACGGAUUGUUGAGACUCCUAUGGAGCUCAAUGUUCACCUCCGUGCUACUGAUGGUGUUCCUCUCCCUGACCCGACGCGUUAUCGUCAUCUUGUUGGCAGUCUUGUUUAUCUUGCUGUCACUCGUCCGGACAUCUCUUAUCCGGUUCAUAUUCUGAGUCAGUUUGUUUCUGCUCCCACAUCGGUUCACUAUGGUCAUCUCCUUCGUGUUCUCCGAUAUCUUCGGGGCACGAUCUCUCACCGUCUAUUCUUUCCUAGCUCCAGUUCUUUACAGCUUCAGGCCUAUUCGGAUGCUACGUGGGCUAGUGAUCCUUCUGAUCGCCGUUCACUUUCUGCUUACUGUGGUUUUCUUGGUGGUUCUCUCAUUGCCUGGAAGACGAAGAAACAUAUUGCAGUUUCCCGUUCGAGUGCUGAGGCUGAGUUGCGAGCCAUGGCUCUUUUGACGGCGGAGGUGACUUGGUUACGGUGGUUACUUCAGGAUUUUGGUGUUUCUGUCACUACACCGACUCUGCUCUUAUCUGACAGUACAGGUGCUAUGAGCAUUGCGCGCGAUCCUGUGAAGCAUGAGCUCACCAAGCAUAUUGGUGUUGAUGCUUUCUAUGUGCGCGCUGCUGUGCAGGAUCAGGUUAUUGCUCUUCAGUAUGUGCCUUCCGAGUUACAAUUGGCAGAUUUCCUGACGAAGGCCCAGACUAGAGCACAACAUGGCUUUUAUCUCUCCAAACUCAGUGUUGUUCAUCCACCAUGA